AAGUCGUAACAAGGUUUCCGUAGGUGAACCUGCGGAAGGAUCAUUAAUGAAUUAAGAGGGCUGUUGCUGGCUUCAUUGAAGCAUGUGCACGCCUUUUCAUCUUCACUACACCUGUGCACCUUCUGUAGGCUGGGUUCAAAAGAAACCAGUCUAUGUUUUUUUAAUACACACACAAAAGUCUAGAAUGUCAUUUUACAAGUGUGUCAUACAAAGCAUACUUUUAAUAUCAUACAACUUUCAACAACGGAUCUCUUGGCUCUC
This 261-nucleotide unclassified non-coding RNA is filed under the name fungal sp. Its description in RNAcentral is "partial internal transcribed spacer region". The stretch from base 1 to 46 matches the Rfam family "Eukaryotic small subunit ribosomal RNA", at positions 1786 to 1831 of the family's 1831-position model. Lineage: Eukaryota; Fungi. The record is from RNAcentral.